CAGGUGUAGUUCAAUGGCAGAAUAUCGGCUUCCCAAGCCGACUACGAGGGUUCGAUUCCCUUCACCUG
RNAcentral lists this transfer RNA (68 nucleotides) under human gut metagenome. It matches the Rfam family "tRNA". Rfam says of the family: Transfer RNA (tRNA) molecules are approximately 80 nucleotides in length. The record is from RNAcentral. RNAcentral also lists the same sequence under 1 other name.